Non-coding RNA from Salmo salar (Atlantic salmon), 54 nucleotides. Lineage: Eukaryota; Metazoa; Chordata; Actinopteri; Salmoniformes; Salmonidae. The record is from Rfam.
UCUUCAACCGAUUGUAAGUCGCUCUGGAUAAGAGCGUCUGCUAAAUGACUUAAA